GGGAGGCGGAGGAGCUCGGCGAGGGCCCAGAGAGAGGCGAAGAGGACGAGGAGAAGGCGGACGGGCCAGAGAGAGUUGAGGCCCAGGAGGCGAUUGCGCCGGCGGGAGCGGAAGGAGCGGAAGCGGAGGUGGAGGACGGCGGCGGUUGAGACGGCGGAGAGGAGGAGGAUGGCGGUGGAGAGGGCGGCGACGGUCUCAUCGAGGGUUUCGAUUGCUUUCAUCUCAUCUCAUCUCCCUCCCGCCCGGACGGACGGUAACCGACGACGACGACGACGAAUCUCGUCACCUUCUUUCCUUCCUCUGUUUCAUCUGCUGAUGAGUUUUCUCCCUCUAUUUUUUUUCUUUGUUUUUAUUUGCUUCUAUUUUUCGUGUGGCUGGGGAUUGGGGGCCAUCCUCCCUUUUUUUUUCUUUUUUGGUUAAAAAAAAAAUCCUCUUCCUUACGCAGGAAAGGUAUGGUUUGGGGACGGUGAGGAGUUGGGAAUUGGCAAAGGGACGGGGUCCGAGAAAUCCGGUGCAGGGAUGGCUGUGGGGCUUCCUAAUCUUCCGUUUUAGCUUGCAUUUAGCCUUUUAGAAUAGUUCCUAUCUGUCAAUUUUGGUUAAUUGUAUGCAUAAAUACAUAUGUAUGUACGAUCGACAUUUGGGAAAUUCUUGUCUCUGAAAACCCUCAAGCAAUGUUAUGCCGACAUGAUCUCAUCAUAUUAACUUUGUAAUGGUUUAGUAGUUACGAUCAAAAAGUUUUAAUAACCUGAUAAAACUAGAGAUGAAGAAAGCACAGGACAAUUCCAAGUUUAGAUGGUGUUUGGUUUCCUCUAUCUAGUUCUAGAUUUAUCAAGUCUAUUAUUUAGCUAUGUAUUCAGCUACUUGAAUUGAACAUCACCGACUACUGUUCUUCAACUGGCUAUUUUUUUUCUUUCUUUUUUUUUCCCCAAAAGCUGGACUUCGUCUGUGGAGGAAAGUUUAAGCAGCACUUCGUAGAGUCGGUCCAGCAAUUGAACUGGAGCGAGGUAACAUUAGAUUCGGAUUCCUUUGGAUUAGCAAAAAAAGGUUUAUGUGGAUAGUGCACGCAUGUGCAUCAACCUCCACUUAUAAAAUGGUGCAGAAAAUAAAAAAAUUAUGAUUUCUUUGGGGGAUUCGCUUUGGAGACUUGCGGAAUUCUCGGCUCCCUCCUACUCUAAUCUGCAUUUUGUGAUCCUCCUUUCUUUCUCUGCAACCAUAAUCCUGUACUUCUUUUAUAUACAUAUCUAUUCCUCUUAAUAAUAAAACGGGGCUGGUUUUAUAACCUCCCUUUUCCACAAACAAAUAAAUGCAAAGUGCUAAAACUUUAAUGUUCCAUCCAACUUUAGGAAAGCCUUUUGUAGCUAAACUCGGCCACCCCCCCACCCUUCUCUCUCAUGCAUUUGGUCAUGCAUUGUCAUGCGCUUAUUAGAGUCCUCAUUCCAUGCCAAGUAAAGGAAACAGCAAAUCAUAAUCAGCACUCAAGUAGUUCAACGUGGAGACUGUAGUCCAUAUAUGGUGCACUUUUGAUUCGCUACACGUUUUUUCUUACCCCUAUUAGAAAUGCUGAGGUUCUUCUUCUAUAUGUCAUAUGCUAGUUUAAUGACAAGACCAUGUCAUCUGAAUCCCCUAACAAUGACAAGACCAUGCUAUGGCUACCUCCUCCUUCCAGAGUGUGAAAAAUUAAUUUUGAUAUUACAGUUUUAGCACGUAGAUCAGCGGCCAGGUUUGUAAUGAGAGAUCAUCACAAUGACCAAAUGCUAAGAGAAGGUGGCAAAUUGUUGCCAUCAACUUCAAUGCUAUGUAUGCUGAUCUUUUGACUGUUUGAUUGGAUCUAUGUAAGACAUGAUAUUGUGUAUGGUUGGAUGUCGUCUAUCAUAAAAUGGAUAGCCGCAUGCAUUCUAUUCAAAUAAUCUAAAUACCUUUGGAAUUUAUAAUUUUUUUCUUUUUAAUAUUCUAACACAGUAUAGCCAUCUAUUUUAUGAUGGAUAACGUUUAACCAUGCACAAUACCCUGCAGUACUUUUUGAGUACCGCAAAGAGUCCAUUUCCGUUUAUGUAAUACAGUAGCAAUCUUUUAAUAAAUUUGGCUAGACAGUGAUUCUUUAACUGUUGUUAAAUGGCUUUAAAAUUUUUCUAUUAACAGGUGAGAGACACUCCCUGCUGAAGGACAUUUUGGCAUGGAAGACUAGAACUGGACAAAUCUUUGUGGCAUCCCAUGCUUAUCAUGAAGCUAAUUAGAUGGCUGAUUUUAUGGCAGACCAAGCCUUCCAUGGUGAUUUACUGUUUCUGUAGGUGCUCAGAUUCCCGCAGCUCUGAAUUAGAUGUUGCAGGCUGAUGGGUCGGGUGUUGGGUUUCUUAAUUAGGUGUUGAUGAUCUAUUAUUAUUCUGGGGUUGGUGUAGUGCUUUAGCUUGUUUACUCGGUUGUAUAUAUCUUAGCAAUGACUCAGUGAUAGCUUAGUAGGUUUCUGUAGUGUUUCUGUUCUGUACCCUAAACUAGACUUUCUUUAUCAAAAAAAAAAAAAACUAAGACUUUAUACUUAAGCUUC
Molecule: long non-coding RNA, 2542 nt
Filed under: Elaeis guineensis (African oil palm)
Lineage: Eukaryota; Viridiplantae; Streptophyta; Magnoliopsida; Arecales; Arecaceae
Description: long non-coding RNA (EGUI_LNC005556)
Source: RNAcentral